This 880-nucleotide long non-coding RNA is filed under the name Theobroma cacao (cacao). RNAcentral describes it as "long non-coding RNA (TCAC_LNC001496)". Lineage: Eukaryota; Viridiplantae; Streptophyta; Magnoliopsida; Malvales; Malvaceae. The record is from RNAcentral.
GUUCAGCGUACAUGGGUUCCUCCCCAGCCGCCACCUGUGGCAAUGCCAGAAGCAGCUGAAGCCAUUCGACGGCCAAAAUCAUCAGCUCUGAAAGAGGCUGCUAAACAAGAGGAAUUGGCUGAGGAUCAGUCAGUGGCUUGCCCUUUAGAGGCAACUGAUGAGUUAAAUAGGAUCACAAAAAUAUCUGAAUCAGCAGGUGCAGUGGAGAUAAAUGGGGGUUUUUCAAGCAUGAACUCAACUGAGAUACAAGAACAAGAACAGAGCUACUCAGAGAACUAAAGCCGGAUUAACUUUCUAGGGUAAGCCUGAUUUAAGGUUUACCAAUACAUGUGUUUAAAAAUGAUAAAAAGUACCCAAGAAUAUUUUCUGUCAACAUCUAAACUACUGUGCUUUAAAAUUGAGCAUCCUCGCAGUAUAGGCAGACCUUUCUUUUCAUGACAAGUUCUGUAUGUAGAAUGAUAAUAAUAAUAAUAAUUCAUUGUCUGCUAGUUUUUGAAAGUAUCAUCUUGCCUUUUAGCAACUUACCUACCUAAGUAGUCAAGAAAAGCACUCAACAGGCUGUUGAGGUAUGUGCAAGGUUGUCUCUUUGCAUCAUUCAGUUUCCGAGUCUAGUUAUUGUUUGAUGAGGAAACACCCUGACGGUAAAUGAUCGUCUGAGCUGGUCUGGGCUGGCCCUGUAACUGCUGAAAACUUUUGUUUGCAUCCAUUUGUCGAAAAAAUUUAAAAAUUCUAGCAUUACACUGAAGAAUUAGCUAAUGAUGUUGGGUUUUUAGGUAUAACAUUUGCCCACCCCACUAACUCUAAGCAAGUCUUUCCUUUUGGAACCACUCAUCCACUCUUUUCUCUUCACAUCCCACUCCAUAUAGUAUUUGUGGCACCC